This 67-nucleotide transfer RNA is filed under the name Cryphalus abietis. Its description in RNAcentral is "tRNA-Gln". The record is from RNAcentral. Lineage: Eukaryota; Metazoa; Arthropoda; Insecta; Coleoptera; Curculionidae. RNAcentral also lists the same sequence under 1 other name.
UAUGUUUUAGUAUAAUUGUACUUAAGUUUUUGAUGCUUAAAGUGUUAGGUAAAUCUAAUAAAUAUAA